Molecule: ribosomal RNA, 389 nt
Filed under: Oncaea venusta typica
Lineage: Eukaryota; Metazoa; Arthropoda; Copepoda; Poecilostomatoida; Oncaeidae
Description: partial 12S ribosomal RNA
Source: RNAcentral
CUAUAUUAUCUCCGAAGUUUAGUCCCAUUUUUUGGGCGAUAAAAUUUUUGCUUAUUUUAAAGAAAUAUCUAAUUCACAAAAAAAGAUUUGUUCCUGAUUAUGAGAUACUAGAUUUAGGUAGUUUAAUAAACAUAAAAUAGAUGGCUGUAAAAUAUUCAUAUUAAGGAAUUUUGAAGUUUAAGUUGAAAUCCCUCAAUUUUAUUUACUUUAAAAAAUUUUUUUUGUUGCGGUUUUAAAUAGUGUUUUUAUAGAAUAAGUUUAAUUCAAGUUUAAUAUCAUUAUUAUUUAAAGGCAACUUUGAAAUGCUGUGUAAAGUUAAAUAAAUGUUUAAUGAAAAAAGUACCUAAAAGUAAUUAAUACUCACAUGAAAAGGUUUUAUUUUGAGUUCA